This is a non-coding RNA of Triticum aestivum (bread wheat), 160 nucleotides long. NCBI's taxonomy places the organism in Eukaryota, Viridiplantae, Streptophyta, Magnoliopsida, Poales, Poaceae. The record is from Rfam.
GAUUUACUCCCUCCGUUCCAAAAUAGAUGACCCAACUUUGCACUAACUUUGUACAAAGUUAGUGCAAAGNGUUCCAAAAUAGAUGACCCAACUUUGCACUAACUUUGUACAAAGUUAGUGCAAAGUUGGGUCAUCUAUUUUGGAACGGAGGGAGUACAAU